This 495-nucleotide ribosomal RNA is filed under the name uncultured bacterium. Its description in RNAcentral is "bacterial SSU rRNA". It matches the Rfam family "Bacterial small subunit ribosomal RNA", at positions 899 to 1397 of the family's 1533-position model. The record is from RNAcentral.
ACUCAAAGGAAUAGACGGGGGCCCGCACAAGCGGCGGAGCAUGUUGCUUAAUUCGACGCAACGCGAAGAACCUUACCAAGGUUUGACAUGGCCGGAAAACCCGUGGAGACAUGGGGUCCUUCGGGGCCGGUCACAGGUGGUGCAUGGCUGUCGUCAGCUCGUGUCGUGAGAUGUUGGGUUAAGUCCCGCAACGAGCGCAACCCUUGUCCCAUGUUGCCAGCAUUAGGUUGGGGACUCAUGGGAGACUGCCGGGGUCAACUCGGAGGAAGGUGGGGAUGACGUCAAGUCAUCAUGCCCCUUAUGCCUUGGGCUGCAAACAUGCUACAAUGGCCGGUACAGAGGGCUGCGACGCCGUGAGGCGGAGCGAAUCCCGGAAAGCCGGUCUCAGUUCGGAUCGGGGUCUGCAACCCGGCCCCGUGAAGCCGGAGUCGCUAGUAAUCGCGGAUCAGCAGUGCCGCGGUGAAUACGUUCCCGGGCCUUGUACACACCGCCCGU